RNAcentral lists this ribosomal RNA (343 nucleotides) under Escherichia coli. RNAcentral's name for it is "bacterial SSU rRNA". It matches the Rfam family "Bacterial small subunit ribosomal RNA", at positions 1 to 342 of the family's 1533-position model. Lineage: Bacteria; Pseudomonadati; Pseudomonadota; Gammaproteobacteria; Enterobacterales; Enterobacteriaceae. The record is from RNAcentral.
UAAUUGAAGAGUUUGAUCAUGGCUCAGAUUGAACGCUGGCGGCAGGCCUAACACAUGCAAGUCGAGCGGUAGCACAGGGAGCUUGCUCCUGGGUGACGAGCGGCGGACGGGUGAGUAAUGUCUGGGAAACUGCCUGAUGGAGGGGGAUAACUACUGGAAACGGUAGCUAAUACCGCAUAACGUCUACGGACCAAAGUGGGGGACCUUCGGGCCUCAUGCCAUCAGAUGUGCCCAGAUGGGAUUAGCUAGUAGGUGGGGUAAUGGCUCACCUAGGCGACGAUCCCUAGCUGGUCUGAGAGGAUGACCAGCCACACUGGAACUGAGACACGGUCCAGACUCCUAC